GAAGGGGGCUAGCGUUGUUCGGAAUUACUGGGCGUAAAGCGCACGUAGGCGGAUAUUUAAGUCAGGGGUGAAAUCCCGCAGCUCAACUGCGGAACUGCCUUUGAUACUGGGUAUCUUGAGUAUGGAAGAGGUAAGUGGAAUUCCGAGUGUAGAGGUGAAAUUCGUAGAUAUUCGGAGGAACACCAGUGGCGAAGGCGGCUUACUGGUCCAUUACUGACGCUGAGGUGCGAAAGCGUGGGGAGCAAACAGGGAUUAGAUACCCUGGUGGUCCACGCCGUAAACGAUGAAUGUUAGCCCGUCGGGCAGUAUACUGUUCGGUGGCGCAGCUAACGCAUUAAACAUUCCGCCUGGGGAGUACGGUCGCAAGAUAA
RNAcentral lists this ribosomal RNA (371 nucleotides) under uncultured organism. RNAcentral's name for it is "partial 16S ribosomal RNA". It matches the Rfam family "Bacterial small subunit ribosomal RNA", at positions 527 to 896 of the family's 1533-position model. The record is from RNAcentral.